AAUCUGACUCUCAGAAUACUAUCGACCCGGACACUUUGUACUUUUCUCCUGGCCUCGGCCCUAGAAUGAAGGUUUUUCUCUCUGACUAUGGCUUCCCCGAUGCAGAAUUCCAGCAGACUCUCAAUAGAUGAUGCUGUAAGCACAGACUGCCAAAGGAAAGCCCAUUUUCUUCCAGUUCUCUUCUUCUCAAGAGCCAAAAGAGGUAGCAUGAUGGCAAAAUGGAUAGAAGACCGAUCUUAAUAUCUGGAAGACUUGAGCUCAAAUCUGGUCUUUGAGUCUGAGUGAUCGAGCUAUGAGUGACUCAAUUAUAUGGAAAGUCCCCCAGCCAUAUUUUUGCCCAUCUAUCCCUUGGCAUCCAUUGGCCAACAUGGGGGUAGUGAUCAUAAGCACUUGACCAACAAGUGGCCAUGGGUUGCCAGUCUGUGGCCUGCCUUUCUACCAGCCCAUGGGGGUGCUCAUCAGGACCUCUUGAAAGAUCAAGAUAGGUCUGUCAAUGUCUGUCAAGACAUUAGUCCAUUUGAGUACCGAUGGGAUUCUUUAUUUUUGUGUAGAGCCUCCUGGAGGGAAAAGAGCAAGGUUUAUCAACUAAUAAGAUUAUGGAUUUUUAGUUUGUUUUAUCUGUAUUGUCUGGGGAACAAGCACUAUAAAACUAAGUCUCUGGAGGAGGAGGGCGUCUCAGAUCAUGAGGAGGAUCUAAGGUCCACUUUUUUGGAGGGGUUCAUGGACCUUUUAAUAAAUUACCAAUAGCU
RNAcentral lists this long non-coding RNA (749 nucleotides) under Sarcophilus harrisii (Tasmanian devil). Its description in RNAcentral is "lncRNA (ENSSHAG00000024065.1)". The record is from RNAcentral. Lineage: Eukaryota; Metazoa; Chordata; Mammalia; Dasyuromorphia; Dasyuridae.